RNAcentral lists this ribosomal RNA (253 nucleotides) under uncultured bacterium. Its description in RNAcentral is "partial 16S ribosomal RNA". It matches the Rfam family "Bacterial small subunit ribosomal RNA", at positions 524 to 776 of the family's 1533-position model. The record is from RNAcentral.
UACGUAGGGGGCAAGCGUUGUCCGGAUUUAUUGGGCGUAAAGAGCGUGUAGGCGGCCAGACAGGUCAGCUGUGAAAACUCGAGGCUCAACCUCGAGACGUCGGUUGAAACCGUCUGGCUAGAGUCCGGAAGAGGAGAGUGGAAUUCCCGGUGUAGCGGUGAAAUGCGCAGAUAUCGGGAAGAACACCCGUGGCGAAGGUGGCUCUCUGGGACGGUACUGACGCUGAGACGCGAAAGCGUGGGGAGCGAACAGG